Molecule: non-coding RNA, 111 nt
Filed under: human gut metagenome
Description: FMN riboswitch (RFN element)
Rfam family: FMN riboswitch aptamer (RFN element)
About the family: The RFN element is a highly conserved domain that is found frequently in the 5'-untranslated regions of prokaryotic mRNAs that encode for flavin mononucleotide (FMN) biosynthesis and transport proteins. This element is a metabolite-dependent riboswitch that directly binds FMN in the absence of proteins. In Bacillus subtilis, the riboswitch most likely controls gene expression by causing premature transcription termination within the 5' untranslated region of the ribDEAHT operon and precluding access to the ribosome-binding site of ypaA mRNA.
Source: RNAcentral
UGUUUCGGGGCGUGGUGAAAGUCCACACCGGUGGUUAAAGUCCACGAGCGAGGUUAAACUUGCUGAAUUGGUGAGAUUCCAAUACCGACGGUAUAGUCCGGAUGGAAGAAA